RNAcentral lists this ribosomal RNA (375 nucleotides) under uncultured organism. Its description in RNAcentral is "partial 16S ribosomal RNA". It matches the Rfam family "Bacterial small subunit ribosomal RNA", at positions 527 to 896 of the family's 1533-position model. The record is from RNAcentral.
GUAGGUGGCAAGCGUUGUCCGGAAUUAUUGGGCGUAAAGCGCGCGCAGGCGGUCCUUUAAGUCUGAUGUGAAAGCCCACGGCUCAACCGUGGAGGGUCAUUGGAAACUGGGGGACUUGAGUACAGAAGAGGAAAGCGGAAUUCCAAGUGUAGCGGUGAAAUGCGUAGAGAUUUGGAGGAACACCAGUGGCGAAGGCGGCUUUCUGGUCUGUAACUGACGCUGAGGCGCGAAAGCGUGGGGAGCAAACAGGGAUUAGAUACCCUGGUAGUCCACGCCGUAAACGAUGAGUGCUAAGUGUUAGGGGGGGUUUCCGCCCCCUUAGUGCUGCAGCUAACGCAUUAAGCACUCCGCCUGGGGAGUACGGCCGCAAGGCUG